UACGGAGGGUGCAAGCGUUAUCCGGAUUUACUGGGUUUAAAGGGUGCGUAGGUGGAUUUGUAAGUCAGUGGUGAAAUCUCCGAGCUUAACUCGGAAACUGCCAUUGAUACUAUAGAUCUUGAAUUAUCUGGAGGUAAGCAGAAUAUGUCAUGUAGCGGUGAAAUGCUUAGAUAUGACAUAGAACACCGAUUGCGAAGGCAGCUUACUACGGAACGAUUGACACUGAGGCACGAAAGCGUGGGGAACGAACAGG
Molecule: ribosomal RNA, 253 nt
Filed under: uncultured bacterium
Lineage: Bacteria
Description: partial 16S ribosomal RNA
Rfam family: Bacterial small subunit ribosomal RNA
Source: RNAcentral